CAACCUCUCGAAGUAAUUCCCG
This 22-nucleotide non-coding RNA is filed under the name Arabidopsis thaliana (thale cress). Lineage: Eukaryota; Viridiplantae; Streptophyta; Magnoliopsida; Brassicales; Brassicaceae. The record is from RNAcentral.